AGUAAGAUAAGCUAACUAAGCUCUUGGGCCCAUGCCCCAAACAUGCAGGUGAAAACCCUGCUUUUACUA
This 69-nucleotide transfer RNA is filed under the name Arnoglossus polyspilus (many-spotted lefteye flounder). RNAcentral describes it as "tRNA-Met". Lineage: Eukaryota; Metazoa; Chordata; Actinopteri; Pleuronectiformes; Bothidae. The record is from RNAcentral.